Oncorhynchus tshawytscha (Chinook salmon) is the source of this 462-nucleotide long non-coding RNA. Lineage: Eukaryota; Metazoa; Chordata; Actinopteri; Salmoniformes; Salmonidae. The record is from Ensembl.
GUAGGGUAUGAGGAGGAGAGAGAAGAGGUAGGGUAUGAGGAGGAUGGAGAGAGAGAAGAGGUAGGGUAUGAGGAAGAGAGAGAGAGAAGAGGUAGGGUAUGAGGAGGAGAGAGAGAGAAGAGGUAGGGUAUGAGGAGGAGAGAGAGAGAAGAGGUAGGGUAUGAGGAGGAUGGAGAGAGAGAAGAGGUAGGGUAUGAGGAGGAUGGAGAGAGAGAAGAGGUAGGGUAUGAGGAGGAGAGAGAGAGAGAAGAGGUAGGGUAUGAGGAGGAUGGAGAGAGAGAAGAGGUAGGGUAUGAGGAGGAUGGAGAGAGAGAGAGAAGAGGUAGGGUAUGAGGAGGAUGGAGAGAGAGAAGAGGUAGGGUAUGAGGAGGAGAGAGAGAGAGAAGAGGUAGGGUAUGAGGAGGAUGGAGAGAGAGAAGAGGUAGGGUAUGAGGAGGAGAGAGAGAAGAGGUAGGGUAUGAG